GUCUGCGCCCCUGUCACCCUGAACUCGCCUGAUCUUGUCUGAUCUCAGAAGCUGAGCAGGGUCGGGCCUGAUUGGUCCUUGGGUGGGAGAAAACACUUGGAGCCACGCACGUGCAGGGG
Molecule: ribosomal RNA, 119 nt
Filed under: Octodon degus (degu)
Lineage: Eukaryota; Metazoa; Chordata; Mammalia; Rodentia; Octodontidae
Source: RNAcentral